RNAcentral lists this ribosomal RNA (428 nucleotides) under Pseudomonadota bacterium. Its description in RNAcentral is "Proteobacteria bacterium partial 16S ribosomal RNA". It matches the Rfam family "Bacterial small subunit ribosomal RNA", at positions 355 to 776 of the family's 1533-position model. The record is from RNAcentral. Lineage: Bacteria; Pseudomonadati; Pseudomonadota.
UGGGGAAUAUUGGACAAUGGGCGAAAGCCUGAUCCAGCCAUGCCGCGUGUGUGAAGAAGGUCUUCGGAUUGUAAAGCACUUUAAGUUGGGAGGAAGGGCAGUAAGCGAAUACCUUGCUGUUUUGACGUUACCGACAGAAUAAGCACCGGCUAACUCUGUGCCAGCAGCCGCGGUAAUACAGAGGGUGCAAGCGUUAAUCGGAAUUACUGGGCGUAAAGCGCGCGUAGGUGGUUCGUUAAGUUGAAUGUGAAGCCCCGGGCUCAACCUGGGAACUGCAUCCAAAACUGGCGAGCUAGAGUAGGGCAGAGGGUGGUGGAAUUUCCUGUGUAGCGGUGAAAUGCGUAGAUAUAGGAAGGAACACCAGUGGCGAAGGCGACCACCUGGGCUCAUACUGACACUGAGGUGCGAAAGCGUGGGGAGCAAACAGG